CUGGGUAACCGAGCGCUUCGGCGCUCACCCCCCACCCUCUGUUUCCCGCCCCUGUUCGGCGUCAGGCGGGUCCCCCUGCGGGGCCCUCCGGCCGGAACCCAAACCCUGAACAACAUUGAAGCCUGAAGUAACAAGCAAAUAGUUA
This 145-nucleotide unclassified non-coding RNA is filed under the name uncultured Ascomycota. Its description in RNAcentral is "sequence contains ITS1". RNAcentral also lists the same sequence under 1 other name. Lineage: Eukaryota; Fungi; Ascomycota. The record is from RNAcentral.